CGCCAACAAAUCAAGAGAGAUUCAAAAGAUCAGAUACUGGUUAAGAAAAUUAGGGUUUGAAAAGAGAAGGGCAAAAAAUAAGGGUUACGAAGAGAUUGCAGAUUAAACAGUGGGGAAAGAUGGAGAAAUUAAAUAGAUAGAAAAAGAAAUUAGGGCUAGAAUGGUUUGAAGGUAUGCGAAAGGGAGCGGAUUGCGAUUGUAGGAGGAGGAGGUAGGGCACUAAAUAAUAGAAACACAGAAAGAAGGAGAGGUAUUUAUAAGGUUGGCAUUU
This 271-nucleotide unclassified non-coding RNA is filed under the name Hevea brasiliensis (rubber tree). Lineage: Eukaryota; Viridiplantae; Streptophyta; Magnoliopsida; Malpighiales; Euphorbiaceae. The record is from RNAcentral.